Molecule: long non-coding RNA, 1379 nt
Filed under: Equus caballus (horse)
Lineage: Eukaryota; Metazoa; Chordata; Mammalia; Perissodactyla; Equidae
Description: lncRNA (ENSECAG00000059418.1)
Source: RNAcentral
GGAACCUCAGCAAAGCCGUGAUUGCAGGGAAUGAGGUUUGUUAGAUCUUAAGGACUGUGGAAAGUCCCAGAGCCACUUAGCAGGUGAAGAAUCAUGACUGUGUCUGUGCCAGCUUUGAGGGCCUCUCAUCUCUGAACUGAUUGCGGUGAGCAUAGGAAAAACCCGAAGGAGGAGUUCAGAUUCAGAGGGCACUUGAAAGGGUUUUGCCUAGUGACACUGAUCAUAGCUGGCAGGGGGCCGCUUCAGCGGAGGCAGCGGCUGUUGCUUCUCAUCCACGGCCCCAGACAGAUCACUCCAUGUAUCAACGGAGAAGAGCUAACGAGAAGAGCAGUGGGCUCUCCGGAGAAACUGAGGAGAGGGAGCAAGACGGAUUUGACUGUCCACGACUGCUUGGUGCAAUGUGAAUCUCAGCAAUUUUUAGCAGGAUUCUGCUAAUGAAUGUGGAACCCAGGGACUGGCAGCUCCAUUUCCUCUGGUGGAGUGUUUUGGACCUAUCUAAGAGUUUGCAAUCCUUCUCAAAAGACACGAGCAGUGAGUUGGAGCCACAGCACUUUUAUGACUUGUUUACUCAGGACUGUGAUGCUUAAGUUUAAAUCAGAAGCUGGAAGCUAAGAACUGCUAAAUGCUGACUUCCAAGAUGGCCCCCAUUGACUCCUACCUCCUGGUAUUCAGGGUCCGUGUAAUCCCCUCCCCUGGAAUGACUUGCUUCUAACAAAUAAAAUGCUGUAAAAUUGAUGAGUACUGCUUUCGUGAUUAGGUUUCAAAGACUAUGACUUUCAGACAGGCAGACUCUCUCCGUUGCCUUCUCAUCUUGCCUGCUUUGCUGAAGCAAGCUGCCAAACUGGAGAGGCCUAAAGUGGCAAGAAACUGAAUGUGGUCUCUGGCCAACUGCCAGAGGGGAACUGAGGCCCUCAGUCCAACAAGCUGUGAGGAACUGAAUCCAGCCAACAACCACGUGAACUUGGAGUGGAUCCUUCUCUAGUCAAGUCUUGAGAUAAACACAUCCCAGUCAAGAUGCUGAUGACAGCCUAUGGGAAAACCUAAAGCAGAGGACCCAGCUAAGCCACGCCCAGAUCCCUAACCCACACAAACUGUGAGAUGAUAAAUGUGUACUGUUUUAAGCUGCUGAGGUUUGAGGAAAUUUAUUAUGCAGCAAUAGAUAGUAGAUAACUAAUACAGUCUGUUACUAUACUUUGAAACUGUUCUGAUCACUCUUGGUAAAAAAAAAAAGGAAAUAUCUGAUAAACUUAUUCAUACUACAGCAUUUGGGAACUCAAGAUGUGACCCCUGUUGGAAUAAUGUCCUCAGAGGGAAGGUAAUGCCAACACCAUAGAGUGCAUGAAUAAUGGCAGAAUUUUAGGAUUUGGGGCGAAUAAUGG